UUUGAAACAGUAUAACCCCAUUUGACCUUUUGACCCUUGGUCAGGACUGGUCAAUGCCGGCCAAUUUAAAAUCCACAGGUUUUGACAACUCAUUGUGAAAACCUUCGGUUUGAUGAACGUAAGUCCCUGGGAGCUUUUAACUUCCAUAAAGUACUGAGAAAAUACAUAUUUAACUUUCAAAAUAUCUUAAAAAAGCCUUAAUAAAAACUUUACACCCGGACCGAAAAACAAUUUACAAAAUAGUUUUAGCCUCCGGUAAACAGAUAUUGGGUUUCCAUUAUAGUAUUUCGCAAUAUUGCAUCAGCCGGUUACGACUAGUUUUAUCAAUACACAUAACAUUCUUUACUGUUUUAAGUAUUAUAACGAAAAAAGUGGAAUUUAAACAACUGAAAUGUAUUCAAGAAUUCUACAAAGAUAUUAUUAGCCAGACGAAUUACAACGUGAAAAAUCCAAGACUUUAUAAAGACAACGAACGUUUAACACAAAAUAUAUCAUCGGAAGACUUCAAGAAAAGAAUGUUAACCAUAACAUGGUUGAAUAUCAUAAUAUUUUCAUGUUGUUAGAAUCACUCAACCGUUUGAGUAUGCCAUACUCAUACGCAUGGUUGAAUAUCAUAAUACUUUCAUGUUGUUAGAAUCACUCAACCGUUUGAGUAUGUCAUAGGCAUAUGCAUGAUUGAAUAUCAUAAUACUUUUAUGUUAUGAAAAUCACUCAACCAUAGGAUUAUACCAUAAUCAUACACAUGACUUAAUGUUAUGAUAUUUUGAUGUUGUUGAAAUCACUCAACCGUUUGAGUAUGCCAUAGGCAUAUGCAUGAUUGAAUAUACGCUUUUGGGAGUAGUAUGGAAUAUAACGUUUAUGGGUGCAUUUUUGAUAGUAGUAAAGAAUAUUAUGUUUUUGAUACAUUUUAACCCUUUUUAUUAAAAUAAUUUAUAAUUGUUUGUUCAUUAUGUUUUACAUUGUUUACUCUCAGUGUUUUAUACAAUAAAUCAUAAAUGUUUAUACCAUUUUGUAACAUUUUAAUGAAAAAUAAACAAUAAUAACCACAAAA
This is a long non-coding RNA of Mercenaria mercenaria, 1051 nucleotides long. RefSeq lists it as uncharacterized. The record is from RefSeq and is a predicted model, not a curated record. The transcript has 2 exons. NCBI's taxonomy places the organism in Eukaryota, Metazoa, Mollusca, Bivalvia, Venerida, Veneridae.